This 382-nucleotide ribosomal RNA is filed under the name uncultured bacterium. RNAcentral's name for it is "bacterial SSU rRNA". It matches the Rfam family "Bacterial small subunit ribosomal RNA", at positions 29 to 412 of the family's 1533-position model. The record is from RNAcentral.
AUUGAACGCUGGCGGCAUGCCUUACACAUGCAAGUCGAACGGCAGCACGGGGGCAACCCUGGUGGCGAGUGGCGAACGGGUGAGUAAUACAUCGGAACGUGCCCAGUAGUGGGGGAUAGCCCGGCGAAAGCCGGAUUAAUACCGCAUGCGACCUACGGGUGAAAGCGGGGGAUCGCAAGACCUCGCGCCGUUGGAGCGGCCGAUGUCAGAUUAGGUUGUUGGUGGGGUAAAGGCCUACCAAGCCGACGAUCUGUAGCUGGUCUGAGAGGACGACCAGCCACACUGGGACUGAGACACGGCCCAGACUCCUACGGGAGGCAGCAGUGGGGAAUUUUGGACAAUGGGGGCAACCCUGAUCCAGCCAUGCCGCGUGCGGGAAGAA